GCUCGGUAAUAGCGGAGGAUACCAAGCGUUAUCCGGAUUUAUUGGGUUUAAAGGGUCCGCAGGCGGAUUAUUAAGUCAGUGGUGAAAUCMUACAGMUUAMCUGUAGAACUGCCAUUGAUAGCUGGUAAUGCUUGAGUAUAGUUGAGGUGGGCGGAAUGUGUCAUGUAGCGGUGAAAUGCAUAGAUAUGACACAGAACACCGAUUGCGAAGGCAGCUCACUAAGCAAUUACUGACGCUCAUGGACGAAAGCGUGGGGAGCAAACAGGAUUAGAUACCCUGGUUAGUCCACGCCGUAAACGAUGAUCACUCGGCUGUUGGCAAUACACUGCUCCUCGGCCAAGCGAAAGCAUUAAKUGAUCCACCUGGGGAGUACGCCGGCAACGGUGAAACUCA
Molecule: ribosomal RNA, 393 nt
Filed under: uncultured bacterium
Lineage: Bacteria
Description: bacterial SSU rRNA
Rfam family: Bacterial small subunit ribosomal RNA
Source: RNAcentral